GAUGUUGGCUUAGAAGCAGCCAUGCAUUUAAAGAGUGCGUAACAGCUCACUGGUCAAGUGGACAUGCGCCGACAAUACACGGGGCUAAGCGUUGUACCGAAGCAGCGGACUGUUUUAUCAGUGGUAGGGGAGCUUUCCAUGCCGGGGCGAAGCCGACGGGCGACCGUCGGUGGACUGCAUGGAAGUGAGAAUGCUGGCAUGAGUAACGAGAGAGGGGCGAGAAACCCCUCCGCCGUAAGCCUAAGGGUUCCUGGGCAAGGCUAAUCCCCCCAGGGUCAGUCGGGAGCUAAGGCGAGGCCGACAGGCGUAGCCGAUGCACAACAGGCGGACAUUCCUGUACCACCGCGGAGCGUUACUACGACGGGGUGACGGAGAAGGGUAGCCGGGCGGGGUUCUGGACGUCCCCGUGAAAGCGCGUAGGCCGCAGGGCAGGCAAAUCCGCCCUGCAGCGAGGCCGAGACGUUAGACGAAGCUUCAUGUGAAGCCGGCGAGCCCAUGCUUCCGAGAAAAACCUCUAAGGAGCGAGGCGGUGCCCGUACCAAAACCGACACAGGUAGGCGGGUAGAGCAUACCAAGGCGAUCGGGAGAACCAUGGUUAAGGAACUCGGCAUACUGACUCCGUAACUUCGGGAGAAGGAGUGCCCCCGCCUGUGAGGUCCCACGCGGACGGAGCGGGAGGGGGUCGCAGCGAAACGGCCCAAGCGACUGUUUACCAAAAACACAGCUCUCUGCUAAGCCGCAAGGCGAAGUAUAGGGGGUGACGCCUGCCCGGUGCUGGAAGGUUAAGGGGAGGGGUUAACGCAAGUGAAGCCCUGAACUGAAGCCCCAGUAAACGGCGGCCGUAACUAUAACGGUCCUAAGGUAGCGAAAUUCCUUGUCAGGUAAGUUCUGACCCGCACGAAAGGCGUAACGAUUUGGGCGCUGUCUCAGCUGUAGACUCGGUGAAGUCUUAGUACCUGUGAAGAUGCAGGUUACCCGCGACUAGACGGAAAGACCCCAUGGAGCUUCACUGCAGGUUGAUAUUGGGAUUUGAUGCAGCAUGUACAGGAUAGGUAGGAGGCAAAGAGAUGGAUACGCCAGUAUUCAAGGAGCCGCUGUUGGGAUACUACCCCUGUUGUAUUGGAUUUCUAACCGGACGACGUAGAGCCGUUGACGGGACAGUGUCAGUCGGGCAGUUUGACUGGGGCGGUCGCCUCCCAAAGAGUAACGGAGGCGCCCAAAGAUACCCUCAGCUUGGAUGGAAACCAAGCGCAGAGUGCAAAGGCAAAAGGGUGUUUGACUGCGAGACCCACAAGUCGAGCAGGGACGAAAGUCGGGCUUAGUGAUCCGGCGGUGCUGAAUGGAAAGGCCGUCGCUCAACGGAUAAAAGCUACCCUGGGGAUAACAGGCUGAUCUCCCCCAA
Molecule: ribosomal RNA, 1402 nt
Filed under: human gut metagenome
Description: bacterial LSU rRNA
Rfam family: Bacterial large subunit ribosomal RNA
Source: RNAcentral